GGUCGGUUAGCUCAGUUGGUUAGAGCGUCGUAAGUUGUUCUCAUCCACUGUUAGAGAAAAUAUCCACUAAUGAUUAUGCCACAGGUACUAAUAAUGCGAAGGUCAUGAGUUCGACCCUCAUACUGACCA
Xylaria curta is the source of this 129-nucleotide non-coding RNA. Lineage: Eukaryota; Fungi; Ascomycota; Sordariomycetes; Xylariales; Xylariaceae. The record is from the annotation of a GenBank genome assembly.